Neopsephotus bourkii (Bourke's parrot) is the source of this 1395-nucleotide long non-coding RNA. RefSeq lists it as uncharacterized. The record is from RefSeq and is a predicted model, not a curated record. The transcript is spliced from 2 exons. NCBI's taxonomy places the organism in Eukaryota, Metazoa, Chordata, Aves, Psittaciformes, Psittacidae.
UCAUACACACAUGGGCUCUCCUCCCAGGGUUAGCAGGAUGUUCUGGGGAAAGGCAAUCUCAACAGCAACAUCAGUCUGUGCAUGUUGUAAAAUCACUGUAGGGUAUUACCUAUGAAAGACCGAGUGCCUGAGAAACAGACAAAGUGGCAUCCAGGCAAAUGUCUUCGUAGUCAUGAUUGUCGGUGAAUAUGAGAUUGUAGAAGCAUGGGAAGACAAUGUCUUUUAUUAGACAAACUGGUAAAAAACAUCCACAUAAGCUUUUGGGUAAUUCAAAAGAAACAGCCCUGUCCCCUUUCUGGAUCAAGCCUCUUGAUACCCAGUGUUUCUCUCCAGCUCUCUUCAGCCUUGCCUAACGACAUUCUCAGCAGGACUUUAGAGGCUUGUCCCAGUGUAACUGGAAAGGUUCCUGGGUGACAGUCAAGCAAAGAAAACCUGCCUAAGUUACAGCAGGCAUGAUCUGCAGGUCCAGGUACUUUGUGAAGCACUUAUUUCUGGGAUUGAGCCUAACGUUGAUUAGUAAAUUGUUCUUGCAGCUUGCUAGAAAAAGCAUGUGGGUUUCUGGCUGUUAAGCAUGAAUGCCUGGGUUUGCAGUGCUGCCUCUUACACUCUGCUAGCGUGUACAAACAAAGCGUGUCUGGCAAAACAUCAGAACCCAAAAAGCUUAGGGUUUUUUAUUUGGGGGGGGGGGUUGUUUGUUGUUUUGGGGGGUUAUUUGUUUAUUAUUCUUGUUGUGGUUUUGUUUGGGUUUCUUUUAAGUUGUUCUGGUUACUCUAAUGAAAAAUACUGGUUUAUUUCUCCCUACAAAUCUCCCCCUCCAACAUUACUGUCACUUGCCUGAACUCUGCUCACCUGUUUCUCUGCAUUCUCAGCCUCAGCUUUUCAGUACACUAGAAGGCUGUGAGAAGAAGCACGCUGAGGGAUCUUGAAGUCCUGUUUAACAAAGCAUGAAGUGGAGGAGAGCUGCCAGAACAGGAACCCAAAGGUGCUGAGCUCCAGUCAACUGCUGUCAUGCUGUUCCCAGCUUAAUUCACCACCAGUGAUCCCAUGGUUAGUAGUCAUUGUGGAUACUUCUGCUAACAGCUCAACCCAUCACAAUAUUACAAAAGCAAGAUCCUUCCAGGGAUGAUGUAUUUGGGCUUUUCUCCUUUAAAUACCUUGAGAUUAUCAUUCUCCAUAUGUGUAUGCAGUAGUACGUGCUGUAAGCUGUUUGUCACUGAUGAAAACAUCACUAAACCCAGAGGAAGCUACUGUUCUGACUCGGCACAUGACUGAACAGGACUCAAUGCACUUCCAUCUUUGUGCUUAUUCUCACACAAGAUGCUCCUGCUCAUACUGUUUCUCCCUUAUUGCAUUAGGAAAAUGGAAUAGUAAAUAAUUGCUGUUAUAAGUUUGUUU